This 495-nucleotide ribosomal RNA is filed under the name uncultured bacterium. RNAcentral describes it as "partial 16S ribosomal RNA". It matches the Rfam family "Bacterial small subunit ribosomal RNA", at positions 28 to 507 of the family's 1533-position model. The record is from RNAcentral.
GACGAACGCUGGCGGCGUGCCUAAUACAUGCAAGUAGAACGCUGAAGGAGGAGCUUGCUUCUCUGGAUGAGUUGCGAACGGGUGAGUAACGCGUAGGUAACCUGCCUGGUAGCGGGGGAUAACUAUUGGAAACGAUAGCUAAUACCGCAUAAUAGCAGUUAUUGCAUGAUAACUGUUUGAAAGGUGCAAUUGCACCACUACCAGAUGGACCUGCGUUGUAUUAGCUAGUUGGUGGGGUAACGGCUCACCAAGGCGACGAUACAUAGCCGACCUGAGAGGGUGAUCGGCCACACUGGGACUGAGACACGGCCCAGACUCCUACGGGAGGCAGCAGUAGGGAAUCUUCGGCAAUGGACGGAAGUCUGACCGAGCAACGCCGCGUGAGUGAAGAAGGUUUUCGGAUCGUAAAGCUCUGUUGUAAGAGAAGAACGAGUGUGAGAGUGGAAAGUUCACUCUGUGACGGUAUCUUACCAGAAAGGGACGGCUAACUACGUG